GAGGCAGCAGUGAGGAAUAUUGGUCAAUGGACGAGAGUCUGAACCAGCCAAGUAGCGUGAAGGAUGACUGCCCUAUGGGUUGUAAACUUCUUUUAUANGGGAAUAAAGUNGUNCACGUGUNGAUUUUUGUAUGUACCAUAUGAAUAAGGAUCGGCUAACUCCGUGCCAGCAGCCGCGGUAAUACGGAGGAUCCGAGCGUUAUCCGGAUUUAUUGGGUUUAAAGGGAGCGUAGGUGGACAGUUAAGUCAGUUGUGAAAGUUUGCGGCUCAACCGUAAAAUUGCAGUUGAUACUGGCUGUCUUGAGUNCAGUNGAGGNGGGCGGAAUUCGUGGUGUAGCGGUGAAAUGCUUAGAUAUCACGAAGAACUCCGAUUGCGAAGGCAGCU
This 384-nucleotide ribosomal RNA is filed under the name uncultured bacterium. RNAcentral's name for it is "bacterial SSU rRNA". It matches the Rfam family "Bacterial small subunit ribosomal RNA", at positions 345 to 726 of the family's 1533-position model. The record is from RNAcentral.